AGUGGCAGACGGGUGAGUAACAUGUAGGUAUCUUCCCUUUGGCCUGGAAUAACACGAGGAAACUUGUGCUAAUACCGGAUAAGUCUUUACGGAGAAAGCUUUAUGCACCAUUGGAUGAGCCUGCACUUGAUUAGUUUGUUGGUAGGGUAAUGGCCUACCAAGACUGUGAUCAAUAGCUGAUUUGAGAGGAUGAUCAGCCACAUUGGGACUGAGACACGGCCCAAACUCCUACGGGAGGCAGCAGUGGGGAAUAUUGCACAAUGGAGGAAACUCUGAUGCAGCGAUGCCGCGUGAGUGUACAAGGCCUUUGGGUUGUAAAGCUCUUUCGUCGGGUAAGAAAAUGACUGUACCCGAAUAAAAAGGUCCGGCGUAACUUCGUGCCAGCAG
Molecule: ribosomal RNA, 387 nt
Filed under: uncultured marine bacterium
Lineage: Bacteria
Description: bacterial SSU rRNA
Rfam family: Bacterial small subunit ribosomal RNA
Source: RNAcentral